UACAGAGGAUGCAAGCGUUAUCCGGAUUUACUGGGUUUAAAGGGUGUGUAGGCGGACUUUUAAGUCCGUGGUGAAAUCUCCGGGCUCAACCCGGAAACUGCCAUGGAUACUAUUGGUCUUGAAUAUUGUUGAGGUGGGCGGAACGGGUCAUGUAGCGGUGAAAUGCAUAGAUAUGACCCGGAACACCGAUUGCGAAGGCAGCCCACUAAGCAAUGAUUGACGCUGAGGCACGAAAGCGUGGGGAGCGAACAGG
Molecule: ribosomal RNA, 253 nt
Filed under: uncultured bacterium
Lineage: Bacteria
Description: partial 16S ribosomal RNA
Rfam family: Bacterial small subunit ribosomal RNA
Source: RNAcentral